GGGCCUGACUGGAUUUGACAGCGAGUCGAAGGGGUAUGUAAGCAUGCAGUGCAAUGUAGUGAGCACUAUAAUCUUAUAUGCAAAAAAUUUAACUGGCGAAAAUAAAUAUGCUCUCGCUGCUUAAUUGAAGUAUAGUAGAUUAGCUUUAUUCCUGCACCAGGUGUAGGAACGAGACAUCACCCAAGAGCCGUCGUCCCGAGGCGUCUUGAUCCGGUGGUGCAGAUAAAUCGGGAAUAGUCAAGGGCAGCCUCGUGCCUGCGAUGAAAUUUUUAGAGGCUAAGGUCUUGGUUGGUAGUCCCGGUCUUGCCAAGAUUCGAAAACCAAAGCGGGAAUAAGCAUGUAGAAAGCAUAUUGUUUCCUCGUUUGGACGAGGGUUCGAAUCCCUCCAGGUCCACUU
Prevotella sp. CAG:617 is the source of this 397-nucleotide non-coding RNA. It matches the Rfam family "transfer-messenger RNA". From Rfam's summary of the family: Bacterial tmRNA, also known as 10Sa RNA or SsrA, is named for its dual tRNA and mRNA-like properties. Its role is to liberate the mRNA from a stalled ribosome. NCBI's taxonomy places the organism in Bacteria, Pseudomonadati, Bacteroidota, Bacteroidia, Bacteroidales, Prevotellaceae. The record is from Rfam.